Molecule: long non-coding RNA, 2187 nt
Organism: Equus caballus (horse)
Lineage: Eukaryota; Metazoa; Chordata; Mammalia; Perissodactyla; Equidae
Source: Ensembl
GCAGUUGUCAUUUUUAAGUACGUACCAGGAAUUUUACGUAUCAUCUCUGUUUUACAAAUAAAGAAAAUAAGUGCAGAGCAAUGAAAUAAUUUGUCCAAGGUCACAUAGCUAGGAAGAGGCCAAGCCAGGACUCAAGCCUAGUCAGGAUGGGCGAGCAUAUGCUCGGUAACAAACAACCAUCAGAUCUCAGCAGCUUAUAAUAACAAAGGCACAGCUCGUGCUAGAGGAGCACGGUUGGUUGGCUGUGGCUCUACUCAGUUUCAUCUUCAACCUUGAACCCAGGCUGACAGUGACGCCUCUGUUUGGAACCCUGCUUGCAGUUGUAUGGGAAAAGAGAGCAUGGCGAACCACAUACUGGCUUUGAACACUUCUACCUGACAGGAGGAACAAAAUGGCUUCAGUGCAGCUAACCAUAGUGUUAAACAACUAUGUCCCAUUUUGGGAGCUGCUGCAGCCAUUUUUCUGCCACAAGACUCAUUUAGAACCUGGAAGACCUGCAGACCCUCGACUGGAUGUUGAACUUUUUCGCCCUGCUAAUCUUGGUCUGGAGCAAAUGCUAAACCUUCGAAGCAGCACCACACAGUUCCUGGGUUAUAAAGGCUUUGUUCCUCAGAUGCUCAGGUCCCCAGAAGGUCAGCUCUCUGGGGCAGGCCAAGCCUGUAGCGUUCACUGGCUUCUCCACAAGCUUAUGAAUAAAGCUGAAACUGUGAACUGUUCAAAAAAGAAAAUAGGUGAUUUGAUUUACAACAAGUUAGUAAAGGAAAACAGUAAGAUUCGGGAACAUCUGCCUUCCAGCAGAAUAUUCUUUGUGUUUCUAAUAAAACCAGGAAGCCAAGUGGAUGGAAGAACUGAUUUGAGAUGUGUGAUGCUGAUCCUUGUGUUAUGUUGGCACAAAUAUGGGCAAUUAGGACACAACUUCACACAACAGUGGGGCAAGAAAGUGAAAUAAGGAAUAGAGGGAUAUCUAGCGAUAAUAGGGUUGAUUAUGUGACAGGCACAUUUAUGGCGAAGCAAAGAGGAAGGGAUUUGGCAUCAAUUAACAGACUUCCUGAGUUCAAACCUGACUCCCUUACUUGCUUAACUUAUCUAAGCGUCAGUUUCCCCAUCUGUGAAAUGAAGAGAGUAAUAUCAUAGGGUCUUUUUGGAGGCACCAAUAAAAUAAAACCUGUAAGACAGCACAGUCCUUGGUGCAUGGUUAGGAGUUAAAGUAAAAUUAAAAAUAAAAAAGUUAACAGUUGUAACUGAUGGCAGAGACACAAAUAUCCCAUUCAUCUAGCGUGUUUAGUUUGCGUCAGUGGUGUCAUGGGAUUGUGUAUAAACGCCCAAUUUUCUCUACCUGCCAUACAUCUCUGACAGGGCCACUCUUAUGAGGAAAAACACCUUUGAGAGAUGUCUCUUGAAUAGGAAUUUGCUUUAGUUAUAUCUUAACAUAAGCAAGAGGCUUUUUUGUUAAAAUAACUUACUUCACUGUUCUGGCCCACUGCCCUGAACAUUCCACUUUGUUUUGUGUGACAGUGGGUUUUAAGUCAGCCAGUGUACAAGGCCCCAGAAUUCUGUUACAUCUGGGUUCAGAAAACUAUUUACUUUCUUCUAUAGUUUUCUGAACUAAUCUUAUUUCUUGGUUGUCACAUCUCAUAACUCACAACUGCUAUGUAUUGAAUUUUGGCCUUUCUCUUUCCCCUUCACCAUAAAGCUACAUCCUUGAAAGACAGGCAGCCCUUUCUUUCUUUUUUUUUCCCCUUAAUUUUUCACUGCAAAACUAAUUCGCAUACUUUGUUGAUUUUUUUUUCAUCCAAAGGCAAAUAACACAGGUGUGUGUGUGUGUGUGUGUGUAUAUGUGUGUGUAUAUAGUUCCCCAACUAAAAAGGGGAAAUCCGCCAUUAACUUCCAUAAUUUCCUCACCUCCAUGCCACUUUACAGAGAUAAUUGAUGUUAACCAUAGGCCUGUGUUCUUCCAAACAGCUUUCCAUGUAUCUACAAACAUUCCUAUCCUAUAUGUUAGGGAGAAAUUUGUUGUUGAUUUGACAAAAAUAAAAUCAUUGUAUACACACUGUUCUGCAGCUUGCUUUUUUUCCUGUUUAACCACGUACCACGGACAUCUUCUCAUAGUGUUGUUGUUCCCAUUUUUUUGUAACGAGUUGUGUUCUGUAAGCAUAACUGUGUAUAGUUAUUAACUUAUCCCUUCAU